RNAcentral lists this ribosomal RNA (1155 nucleotides) under Salmonella enterica subsp. enterica serovar Bredeney. Its description in RNAcentral is "partial 23S ribosomal RNA". It matches the Rfam family "Bacterial large subunit ribosomal RNA", at positions 580 to 1735 of the family's 2925-position model. RNAcentral also lists the same sequence under 2 other names. The record is from RNAcentral. Lineage: Bacteria; Pseudomonadati; Pseudomonadota; Gammaproteobacteria; Enterobacterales; Enterobacteriaceae.
CAGGUUUACCUGUGUGACUGCGUACCUUUUGUAUAAUGGGUCAGCGACUUAUAUUCUGUAGCAAGGUUAACCGAAUAGGGGAGCCGGAGGGAAACCGAGUCUUAAUUGGGCGUUAAGUUGCAGGGUAUAGACCCGAAACCCGGUGAUCUAGCCAUGGGCAGGUUGAAGGUUGGGUAACACUAACUGGAGGACCGAACCGACUAAUGUUGAAAAAUUAGCGGAUGACCUGUGGCUGGGGGUGAAAGGCCAAUCAAACCGGGAGAUAGCUGGUUCUCCCCGAAAGCUAUUUAGGUAGCGCCUCGUGAAUUCAUCUCCGGGGGUAGAGCACUGUUUCGGCUAGGGGGCCAUCCCGGCUUACCAACCCGAUGCAAACUGCGAAUACCGGAGAAUGUUAUCACGGGAGACACACGGCGGGUGCUAACGUCCGUCGUGAAGAGGGAAACAACCCAGACCGCCAGCUAAGGUCCCAAAGUCAUGGUUAAGUGGGAAACGAUGUGGGAAGGCCCAGACAGCCAGGAUGUUGGCUUAGAAGCAGCCAUCAUUUAAAGAAAGCGUAAUAGCUCACUGGUCGAGUCGGCCUGCGCGGAAGAUGUAACGGGGCUAAACCAUGCACCGAAGCUGCGGCAGCGACGCUGAUGCGUUGUUGGGUAGGGGAGCGUUCUGUAAGCCUGCGAAGGUGGCCUGUGAGGGUUGCUGGAGGUAUCAGAAGUGCGAAUGCUGACAUAAGUAACGAUAAAGCGGGUGAAAAGCCCGCUCGCCGGAAGACCAAGGGUUCCUGUCCAACGUUAAUCGGGGCAGGGUGAGUCGACCCCUAAGGCGAGGCCGAAAGGCGUAGUCGAUGGGAAACGGGUUAAUAUUCCCGUACUUGGUGUUACUGCGAAGGGGGGACGGAGAAGGCUAUGUUGGCCGGGCGACGGUUGUCCCGGUUUAAGCGUGUAGGUGUGUGUUCCAGGUAAAUCCGGUUCACUUUAACACUGAGGCGUGAUGACGAGGCACUACGGUGCUGAAGCAACAAAUGCCCUGCUUCCAGGAAAAGCCUCUAAGCAUCAGGUAACAUCAAAUCGUACCCCAAACCGACACAGGUGGUCAGGUAGAGAAUACCAAGGCGCUUGAGAGAACUCGGGUGAAGGAACUAGGCAAAAUGGUGCCGUAACU